GCUUAUGGCCACACCGCCUGGUUCACGGCUGAUCUCGUUUGAUCUCGGAAGCUAAGAUAGGUUCGGCCUGGUUAGUACUUGGAUGGGAGACCGCCUGGGAAUACCAGGUGCUGUAAAGC
Molecule: ribosomal RNA, 119 nt
Filed under: Scophthalmus maximus (turbot)
Lineage: Eukaryota; Metazoa; Chordata; Actinopteri; Pleuronectiformes; Scophthalmidae
Source: RNAcentral